Molecule: transfer RNA, 72 nt
Filed under: Heterocephalus glaber (naked mole-rat)
Lineage: Eukaryota; Metazoa; Chordata; Mammalia; Rodentia; Bathyergidae
Rfam family: tRNA
About the family: Transfer RNA (tRNA) molecules are approximately 80 nucleotides in length. Their secondary structure includes four short double-helical elements and three loops (D, anti-codon, and T loops). Further hydrogen bonds mediate the characteristic L-shaped molecular structure. tRNAs have two regions of fundamental functional importance: the anti-codon, which is responsible for specific mRNA codon recognition, and the 3' end, to which the tRNAs corresponding amino acid is attached (by aminoacyl-tRNA synthetases). tRNAs cope with the degeneracy of the genetic code in two manners: having more than one tRNA (with a specific anti-codon) for a particular amino acid; and 'wobble' base-pairing, i.e. permitting non-standard base-pairing at the 3rd anti-codon position.
Source: Rfam by way of RNAcentral
GGGGGUGUAGCUCAGUGUUAGAGUGCUAGUCUACCAUGUGUGAGGUCCUGGGUUCCAUCCCCAGAACCACCA